This is a long non-coding RNA of Acanthaster planci (crown-of-thorns starfish), 878 nucleotides long. The record is from RefSeq and is a predicted model, not a curated record. NCBI's taxonomy places the organism in Eukaryota, Metazoa, Echinodermata, Asteroidea, Valvatida, Acanthasteridae.
CCUGAUCUGUAAACGAUACAACCCUCAUAUUCCGCAGCUUUACGGUGUGUGGAUAAAUUAAAUGUUUGUAAUACCAGUAACAUUGUCAAGUCACCCUUGUAUCGCAUGAGACGGUAUACCAGACGACGGGCCAUCGGCAGAUGACAAAUGACGGCUUGUUUGGAUUGAUAACAUUAUGUACCAGAAUUGGGUUUAGGUAGAGUUGCUUAUACACAGCGGCACACGGGUUGUGGCGUGAUCCUGGGACGUGUUGGCGGAGCUGAAGUUUCCCGUUUCUUCAGUGUUCAGUGCUACAUGUACUGUGAAGUCAAUUUUCCGAACAUUAAGACACGAGAGACUUCAUUUGUGAACACUGGAUGGCUACAUUAAUCCGUAUCGAGUAGAAGCUCUCCAUCAUUGGUUGAAAAGAGCCAUGUUGGUUGGGAGUGUGCAGAUUGUUGGUAGCGAUGCGACCAUAACGCGUGCAGUUCAUGUAGUUUUUUGUGAACCAGCGAAGUUCAGUUCUGACCAAAGGAGCCUCAACUGCUAAGAAAAUUGUGCCUUCUCUUGGUCCAGUUCGAUACUCAUAACCUGCAGGAAAGAUUAAAAUGAUGCACCAAUUUGACAAAAAAGUGCUUCGAUUACAACUAAAGAAAACGGAUGGUCAGACGAAAUGGCAUCGCUACACAAAAUGUGUACUUUCAAUUUUUCCUGAUCAUGAGCUCCGUUUGACAACUGCUGGUCAGACUGGACAGAUUAUGAACAACUCUCCGUACUCAAGUCUACAGAACCAAAUCUCACAAAGAAAUCUUUGAGGAAAAGAGGACAAGUUCGGGCGCCAUUUCCUCUCCUCUCAGACCUUCUGCCCCGGGCAAAGUGCUACCUAAAAAGCCCAGCAA